RNAcentral lists this ribosomal RNA (253 nucleotides) under uncultured bacterium. Its description in RNAcentral is "partial 16S ribosomal RNA". It matches the Rfam family "Bacterial small subunit ribosomal RNA", at positions 524 to 776 of the family's 1533-position model. The record is from RNAcentral.
UACGUAGGGUGCAAGCGUUGUCCGGAAUUAUUGGGCGUAAAGAGCUCGUAGGCGGUCUGUCGCGUCGAAUGUGAAAAUCCGAGGCUCAACCUCGCGCCUGCAGUGGGUACGGGCAGACUGGAGUGCGGUAGGGGAGACUGGAAUUCCUGGUGUAGCGGUGAAAUGCGCAGAUAUCAGGAGGAACACCGGUGGCGAAGGCGGGUCUCUGGGCCGUAACUGACGCUGAGGAGCGAAAGCGUGGGGAGCAAACAGG